RNAcentral lists this ribosomal RNA (416 nucleotides) under uncultured bacterium. RNAcentral's name for it is "bacterial SSU rRNA". It matches the Rfam family "Bacterial small subunit ribosomal RNA", at positions 356 to 773 of the family's 1533-position model. The record is from RNAcentral.
GGGGAAUAUUGCACAAUGGGCGGAAGCCUGAUGCAGCGACGCCGCGUGGGGGAUGACGGCCUUCGGGUUGUAAACCUCUUUCGUCGGGGAAGAAGCCUUCCUUUUUGGGGGGUGACGGUACCCGGAGAAGAAGCACCGGCUAACUACGUGCCAGCAGCCGCGGUAAUACGUAGGGUGCGAGCGUUGUCCGGAAUUAUUGGGCGUAAAGAGCUUGUAGGCGGUUAGUCGCGUCUGCGGUGAAAACCUAACGCUUAACGUUGGGCGUGCCGUGGGUACGGGCAGGCUAGAGUGUGGUAGGGGAGACUGGAAUUCCUGGUGUAGCGGUGAAAUGCGCAGAUAUCAGGAGGAACACCGAUGGCGAAGGCAGGUCUCUGGGCCAUAACUGACGCUGAGAAGCGAAAGCAUGGGGAGCGAAC